CAGCAGCAGCCACGGGAAUACCAGCACCUCGAGUGGUCAGGAGGUUUAUUGGGCCUAAAGCAUCCGUAGCCGGUUGCAUAAGUUUUCGGUUAAAUCUAUGCGCUUAACGUAUAGGCCGCCGAAAAUACUGUGUAGCUAGGGAGUGGGAGAGGUACACGGUACUCGAUAGGAAGGGGUAAAAUCCUUUGAUCUAUUGAUGACCACCUGUGGCGAAGGCGGUGUACCAGAACACGUUCGACGGUGAGGGAUGAAAGCUGGGGGAGCAAACCGGAUUAGAUACCCGCGUAGUCCCUGUCUCUUAUAA
Molecule: ribosomal RNA, 304 nt
Filed under: uncultured bacterium
Lineage: Bacteria
Description: partial 16S ribosomal RNA
Rfam family: Archaeal small subunit ribosomal RNA
Source: RNAcentral